UGUGGAUGAUGCAUAUACAAUUACAGCAUAUAUGAAUGCUUGGAGUGACGAGUUUAAUCUAUUACCACAUAAAGAUUAUUGGAUGCAUACAGGUAUGUUUAAAUGUAUUUCUGAUCAUCAUCGUUUGAGACCCAAGCAGAAAGACAGACCAAAGUCAACAAAAUUAUGAAAUGAGAUGGAUGAUAGGCAAAUAAGAAGCAAGAAUCAUUAUGGUAUUUGUAAGGGAUAAUAUCAUGAUCGCCACC
RNAcentral lists this long non-coding RNA (245 nucleotides) under Elaeis guineensis (African oil palm). RNAcentral describes it as "long non-coding RNA (EGUI_LNC005342)". The record is from RNAcentral. Lineage: Eukaryota; Viridiplantae; Streptophyta; Magnoliopsida; Arecales; Arecaceae.